RNAcentral lists this microRNA (22 nucleotides) under Blattella germanica (German cockroach). RNAcentral's name for it is "Bge-Novel-10-P2_3p* (star (passenger))". Lineage: Eukaryota; Metazoa; Arthropoda; Insecta; Blattodea; Blattellidae. The record is from RNAcentral.
AAUUACACUUGUUACGACCGGA